GAGUUACACUCCCAACCCCUGUGACAUACCUUAAUGUUGCCUCGGCGGAUCAGCCCGCGCCCCGUAAAACGGGACGGCCCGCCAGAGGACCCAAACUCUAAUGUUUCUUAUUGUAACUUCUGAGUAAAACAAACAAAUAAAUCAAAACUUUCAACAACGGAUCUCUUGGUUCUGGCAUCGAUGAAGAACGCAGCAAAAUGCGAUAAGUAAUGUGAAUUGCAGAAUUCAGUGAAUCAUCGAAUCUUUGAACGCACAUUGCGCCCGCUGGUAUUCCGGCGGGCAUGCCUGUUCGAGCGUCAUUUCAACCCUCAAGCCCCCGGGUUUGGUGUUGGGGAUCGGCUCUGCCUUCUGGCGGCGCCGCCCCCGAAAUACAUUGGCGGUCUCGCUGCAGCCUCCAUUGCGUAGUAGCUAACACCUCGCAACUGGAACGCGGCGCGGCCAUGCCGUAAAACCCCAACUUCUGAAUGUUGACCUCGGAUCAGGUAGGAAUACCCGCUGAACUUAAGCAUAUCAAUAAGCGGAG
Molecule: ribosomal RNA, 523 nt
Filed under: Fusarium tricinctum
Lineage: Eukaryota; Fungi; Ascomycota; Sordariomycetes; Hypocreales; Nectriaceae
Description: eukaryotic LSU rRNA
Rfam family: 5.8S ribosomal RNA (bases 146-299)
Source: RNAcentral